Molecule: ribosomal RNA, 253 nt
Filed under: uncultured bacterium
Lineage: Bacteria
Description: partial 16S ribosomal RNA
Rfam family: Bacterial small subunit ribosomal RNA
Source: RNAcentral
UACGGAGGGUGCAAACGUUGCUCGGAAUCAUUGGGCGUAAAGCGCACGUAGGCGGUCUUGCAAGUCGGGUGUGAAAUCCCUCGGCUUAACCAAGGAAGUGCACUCGAAACUGCAAGACUUGAGUACUGGAGAGGGUCGCGGAAUUCUCGGUGUAGAGGUGAAAUUCGUAGAUAUCGGGAGGAACACCAGUGGCGAAGGCGGCGACCUGGUCAGAUACUGACGCUGAGGUGCGAAAGCGUGGGGAGCGAACGGG